GAUGAACGCUGGCGGCGUGCCUAAUACAUGCAAGUCGAGCGAACAGACGAUGAGCUUGCUCCUCUUACGUUAGCGGCGGACGGGCGAGUAACACGUGCAUAACCUACCUAUAAGACUGGGUUAACUUCGGGAAUCCGGAGCUAAUACCGGAUAAUAUAUUUAACCGCAUGGUUCAAUAGUGAAAGACGGUUUUGCUGUCACUUAUAGAUGGAUCUGCGCCGCAUUAGCUAGUUGGUAAGGUAACGGCUUACCAAGGCAACGAUGCGUAGCCGACCUGAGAGGGUGAUCAGCCACACUGGAACGGAGACACGGUCCAGACUCCUACGGGAGGCAGCAGUAGGGAAUCUUCCGCAAUGGGCGAAAGCCUGACGGAGCAACGCCGCGUGAGUGAUGAAGGUCUUCGGAUCGUAAAACUCUGUUAUUAGGGAAGAACAAAUGUGUAAGUAACUAUGCACGUCUUGACGGUACCUAAUCAGAAAGCCACGGCUAACUACGUG
RNAcentral lists this ribosomal RNA (497 nucleotides) under uncultured bacterium. RNAcentral's name for it is "partial 16S ribosomal RNA". It matches the Rfam family "Bacterial small subunit ribosomal RNA", at positions 28 to 507 of the family's 1533-position model. The record is from RNAcentral.